UUUUCAAUAAAAUAAAAAUUUCACCAAUCACUUCAAAUAUUAUCUCAUUAGCCUUCUUGUUUCUCAACCAAGACAUUUUUUUUACCCACCUAAACCAAAAAAAAAAAAGUGCCAAAUAUGUCUAAAACAGAUUCAAUUAUCCAAUUUACAAAAAACAGUUUCUGAAUCUGCAAAUAGUCUUUUAACACCUUGCAAGUUGCUUACUAGGACAAAACUUGCUAUCACUCAUCAAUUAUUAUUAUUACCAUUAUUAUUAUUAGGAAAUAAUACCAAAUACAUUAUCAUCAGUCUCUGAUUUAUCCAUUCCUCUUGUUUCUCAACCAAGACAUGUUUUUUUCCCACCUAAACCAAAAAAAAAAAAGUGCCAAAUAUGUCUAAAACAGAUUCAAUUAUCCAAUUUACAAAAAACAGUUUCUGAAUCUGCAAAUAGUCUUUUAACACCUUGCAAGUUGCUUACUAGGACAAA
RNAcentral lists this long non-coding RNA (466 nucleotides) under Solanum tuberosum (potato). RNAcentral's name for it is "long non-coding RNA (STUB_LNC009373)". The record is from RNAcentral. Lineage: Eukaryota; Viridiplantae; Streptophyta; Magnoliopsida; Solanales; Solanaceae.